Molecule: transfer RNA, 68 nt
Filed under: Euceros serricornis
Lineage: Eukaryota; Metazoa; Arthropoda; Insecta; Hymenoptera; Ichneumonidae
Description: tRNA-Arg
Source: RNAcentral
UAUUAAGUAAUAUAUAAAUUAAUAUAAUUAAUUUCGAUUUAAUUUAAGAUUAAAAUAAUCCUUAAUUU